Chinchilla lanigera (long-tailed chinchilla) is the source of this 2988-nucleotide long non-coding RNA. RefSeq lists it as uncharacterized. NCBI's taxonomy places the organism in Eukaryota, Metazoa, Chordata, Mammalia, Rodentia, Chinchillidae. The record is from RefSeq and is a predicted model, not a curated record. The transcript has 3 exons.
CCAAAGAAGUGGCUACAACAAUGUCUCUUGGGAAGGCUUCCUGCAUUUCCUGCUAUUGGUCAAGAAAGAUUCACUUGUUGCAAAUCUUGAGCAAGAUUUAGGGAAAGGGCCGGCGGUCAGGGUUCUCCAAAUUCUUGAAGAGCAUCAUAUGCAUGUGCCCUCCUGCCAGCUUUCCCGGGAAAAAGAAAACCUCUUGGUUCUUGAACCUGCUAUAGUUUUUAGAUGUUACAUGUGCAAGUUGGGAUCAGCCUUCAGAUUUUUCAUUCAUUUCAUUUCAUUCAUUCAUUCAUUCAUUCAUUCAUAUUCCAGGCACUAUACACUUGUUAAAAAUCCUCAGGGCACAAGCAGAGGAAACUAUGGCAAAGAGACCAGAAGUGAGACCCAGGUGGGCUGGGAGGGAAGCAGGCUUUUGUUUAGGGCUUCCUUACGAAAACAGACACCCAGCAGCAUUGGUCCAAAGAUGCAUCUCCCAAGGGCACAUUCUCCCACAUGUAUGGAUAUCAGGCCACCCCAGUAGGCAUAUUUCUCCAUAAACCUGCAGCUACAGAGGACUUUUUGCAAACCUGGCUUGAACACAAGAUUUAAAGACGUGAUUCCUACCACAAGACUGUGAGCAUUUGAGUCAUCUUAAGGCCAAGAGGUGGUAUUUAGAGCUGUUUCUGCACCCCCUGCCCAAGAAAACUGACCUGAAAGCCAAAGUUGGUUAGUACUGAGGCCCAAGUACCUGAGUCCACAGAGCUGAAGAUUUUUCAGUGCUAUAUCACUUCCCGUUACUCACUCAGAGAGCUGGGCAUGGUUUCUCUUCACGACAGCUGCAGGGCUCACAAUAAUAAAAUGGAAGAGUUGAGUGGCACUCACAGGUUCAGCUUGCCUGCGUGCCUCCCACUGCAAAGGAAGAAAGGAAACCCAGGAACAUGGAGGAUAUCUUGCCUCCACUUCUCAGGGGUCUCUGUCUGGAUCCCCACCUCGAGGGUCUUCAGCAGAACUGAGACUGCACUGUCUUGAUUCCGAUUCAGUGUUUUUUUCUUUCUUUCUUUCUGUAUGUUCUUGCUUUCCCUAAGCCUACAGGCCAGGUCAUAACUUAGCAGCAGGCAGAAGAAUAAUGACAUGACUGUAACUGUGUGCCAGUAUAAUACGAAUUUAAAGAGUACAAGGUGACACCAAGAUCACGGUGGCACCAGACUGUAACUGUUGCUUGACCUUCCACCAUUAGAGAUUCAUUCUUUUGUAAGGGGGAGUUUGGGUAUUCUUCCAGAAUUUCCUCAUGUGGUGCAGAUCCACCAACAGGCGAUAGCUAACAGACUGCAAGAGCUGCUUCUCCAGAACAGGUGAUUCCCAACCCUGGUGAUGCCGGGACAGGGCAUCACUUUGGAAUGCAUUACAAUAAGGAUGGAUUUGGGGCCCAUGCAAGAACGGGUUCUCACCCUGUGGUAGGCGUUCAAUAAAUGCUACCAGCUGCUGGACUAGGAAUGUGAGACAGAAUGUGACUGGGAAGCUCUCUUCAAAGACUGAGCAAGUGUUCAGGAAGGCAGAGGAAAAGAUAGUACUGCUCACGCUCCUGUGCUUUCAGAUGACAUUUGGCCCAGGGUUUUCUGCAUAGUAGGCAUCAAGACCCUGUGAGAACCAGUCCCUUGCUUACCCCAAAGUCUUCCAGUAACAAGUUGAUCAGCGCUGAUACUUUUGCCUCUGGCUAAAGAAGGGGAGUUUGUAUUAUUAUCCUACGAGUGAAGGACGGAGAAAGAGACCAAGAUGAAGAGGGGACGAUGUGUCCCUUUUAUGCUACUCUGACACUGGAGUUUGUGCCCUUAGAGAGGAAUGGAAGUGUUGAGGCCAGAAGUGGAACAGGUUGCUUCUCCAGGUGCCCUGAUGGAGCUCUGAACACAGGCGUGGGCCUGGGGGCUCGUCAGACCCGUUCAUGCUUCAGCACCGUGUCCUCAUUGUCAACCCGGGCAAGAGAAAGGAAACCUCCAAGACACUGGGCGGUGACUGUUGGGAUUCAGAUGUAAAACGUCCCUGAAAGACUCACGUGCAUGGAAGGUGACUGGAUCACGGCGCGCUAUACUCAUUGGUGGAUUCAUCCUGGAAGGCUGUGUUCCUGUUCCUGACGCCUCCCUUCUCUCUCGGAUCCUGGCUGCCAUGAGGUGUAGGUAUUUUGUCUGGACAGAAAGUGACUAAGACAUGAACCAAGGGGAUGGAGAUGAAGAGAAGAUGACUCCAUGUAGAUUCGCCACAGGGCGGGCUACUUCCAGGAAAGAUGACACACUGGCUGGUUCUCCAGCAGCCUGCUGGAGGCUUUGCGGCUGUCACCUGUAACUCUCCUUGCGUACCUUGGGGCAGCACAUUAAUUUGAAUCUUCUGAAGUCAAGAAUCACAUAAUAGGUAGAAAUUCUCUUUGUAUCUGUCUAAAUACAUAAACUGAAUCAAAGAGAAGUAAUUUUUGGACAGUCUGCUGAUUUGCCUGGGGUCACUGGGAGCUGGUGAGCUGAUGGGGUUACGCUGACCUAUUUUGCAGAGGCGUGUAUGUGGAGGAAUUCAUUGAUUCCGCUAGGGAGCUCUGCCCUGGACCAGCGAGAUCAAGUGAUGACUGCCUCUAACGGUUCCUGGUUCUGUCUUUGAGGCUGCUAGAGUCAAAGAUUCUCUUAAAAAAUCCAAAAACAAAACAAAACAAAAAACCCCUUGACAUAUCUUUUGACCACUGAGGCCAAACAGUGGCCCAGUCCUGGGUGACCACUGUGGUCAGCACGACUCCUGUGGCCGCCAUUGCAACCUCAGACCCAGUGGAACUUUCCCUUCCAUUGCUCUCGGAGACACGAGACAGAGAGGGUCCUCAGCUGUCCAGCGCUUGCUUUGGUCCCCACAUGUGAGUUUUGCUGCAAGAUGCUUUGGAGCAAACUUUGUUGUGAUUUGGAUGGGGUCUGUAGUGGAUUGAUAACUGGUGGUCAACUUGUAACCCCCAGCUGAACUGAGUGAGUGGUGCUGGGUGUGGGA